GGGCUCGUAGUAUAGUCUGGACAGCACACUGGCCUCCGGAGCCUGAAACCCGGGUUCAAAUCCCGGCGAGCCCACCA
Molecule: transfer RNA, 77 nt
Filed under: Methanosarcinales archaeon ex4484_138
Lineage: Archaea; Methanobacteriati; Methanobacteriota; Methanomicrobia; Methanosarcinales
Also listed under: 3 other names
Description: tRNA-Arg
Rfam family: tRNA
About the family: Transfer RNA (tRNA) molecules are approximately 80 nucleotides in length. Their secondary structure includes four short double-helical elements and three loops (D, anti-codon, and T loops). Further hydrogen bonds mediate the characteristic L-shaped molecular structure. tRNAs have two regions of fundamental functional importance: the anti-codon, which is responsible for specific mRNA codon recognition, and the 3' end, to which the tRNAs corresponding amino acid is attached (by aminoacyl-tRNA synthetases). tRNAs cope with the degeneracy of the genetic code in two manners: having more than one tRNA (with a specific anti-codon) for a particular amino acid; and 'wobble' base-pairing, i.e. permitting non-standard base-pairing at the 3rd anti-codon position.
Source: RNAcentral